This is a long non-coding RNA of Syngnathus acus (greater pipefish), 1258 nucleotides long. RefSeq lists it as uncharacterized. The record is from RefSeq and is a predicted model, not a curated record. The transcript has 2 exons. Lineage: Eukaryota; Metazoa; Chordata; Actinopteri; Syngnathiformes; Syngnathidae.
CACUAACGGAUCACCGUGUGUGCGCGCACUGGCACUCCAUUUUUGGUGCACUCAGAAUUUCCAAACGGUAAAAUCGAGCAACGCACUGAAUUUUGGAGCCAUCACACUUGAAAUAGUGCGCGCUGGGAGUAAAUUUCCGAACGCGCCGGUAGUCGCCACUCGUUUUUCAACCGAUCUUCAAAAUAUUUACUUUUUGUCAAUAGAUAGAUGACAAAUGCUAAAGCGUGUAAAUUUAACGUAAGAAAAAGAGACCAACAUUUUUUGAUUUACCUAUUAACAUUUCGUCCCAGGUUCCUGAUUGUAUGACGUUGUACGUGUCGCUGCCCUCCAACCAUGCUUUGGCGGCGACCUCCCUGCGAUCUUGCUUCGGCACAAGCCCUGCGGCCGCCCUCGCCACCUGUCUGGCCCCCAGGACAGCCACCAAGUACCUUUCGUUAUUCUUGAUUUUCACAAAAAUAUACAGAUGUGAGGCAGGACCUUAUUUCUCUGUUGGCCUAGCUGGGGGAAAGGGACAUAUAGCUAUAUUUUUAAACGAAAUUAUACUGUAGAGGGCAGCAGAAGUAUGUAUAUAUGAUUAAGUAUGGGCUGUAAUAGUCAUCUCCAAAUUCAGUUAAAAUUGAGUCACAUCAUCUUUGUUCAUUUUGUCCCUAUGAAUGUCAGAAAGAAUAACAGCCUUUGAAAGCUGCAAUUUUGUAAUAUGCUGUGACAGCUUCAUCUCUCAGUUAUUGGCUUCGUUUAUCCUGUUGACUCUGACAUGUCAUCAUCAGCACCCUCCACCAUUCCUCUCCUGCUCCUGUCGUGACAACAGAUCAUCAAACAUCUCAGUUUUAUUUGAUUGCAAAAAUGACGGAGGGCGAAUUUGUCUUUCUCACUGUGACUAUGCCUAAUUGAAUGGAGGUAAAUGUUUGACCUUUAUUGCCACUUUGUUUCACCUCAAUUUAUACCAAAUGGCUCGCAAGCAGGAUGACAACAAACUAACUCAUAAAUCAUUUUCAUGUAGUGUUAAUUCUUCCUUGGUGAAAUGGUGAUAUGGGGGCAGGCACACAAAGUGGUGUCCAAAAACGUACACAAACUGGAUGUGGAAACUGUUCUACUAACCCGUGUGUAGGCUGCAAAGAACAUGCUGCAACUUUUGUGCUCGAUCAUGAGAAGCAUUGAUCGUCAUAUGCCAAUCACAUACUUUUCCACAGAAAAGAAAAUUGGUGCCUAAUCGAUUGGAGCACCACUAAUGAGAACUAUUAAAAAGUUUAAACCAUCA